This is a long non-coding RNA of Rhipicephalus sanguineus (brown dog tick), 621 nucleotides long. RefSeq lists it as uncharacterized. The transcript has 4 exons. The record is from RefSeq and is a predicted model, not a curated record. NCBI's taxonomy places the organism in Eukaryota, Metazoa, Arthropoda, Arachnida, Ixodida, Ixodidae.
UUCAGCGCCGACAGCAACGUCUCGGGAGAGGCUCUGUUCGGUGGAGCCAACGAGCAGUACUACCAAGGUCAGCUGAGCUUCGUGGACGCUGAACUCAACACUUUCCAGUUCCGCAUCUCAAGGUACAGCUACGCUGGCGUGAACCGAAUUUUCGCGUCAAGAGAUUCACAGUCAACGGCAGUGCUGGCUCCAGCGGAGAAAUUUAUUCUUGGUCCAUAUCGUGAAAUUUAUAGCCUCAACGAGCUACUCGGCGGGCGCUUCACUAAUGAAGGGUACGAGUUCUAUUGUGGAUUCAGGCCCGCCAACGUCAUUUUCACCAUUGCUACCAAGAGGUUUGUCCUUACGGCGGAAGACUACAUUUAUAAGGUCGACACACCUUCUGGAACUAAGUAAUAUAGCGCUUUCAAGACGGCCUACAGGGGAGACGACGCUGCCGCAUGGCAUUUGGGCAUUCCUUUCCUGCGGCGAACCUACACUGUGCUCGAAGCUCCCUCAAAUUCGAGGGGCCACGGGCGCGUGGGCUUCGCUCCUAUACGCUCGCCUUGACAGCGUCGUUAAGCACAGCGGACAGCGCAAUUUUCGGGUUGUGAUUUCACGGCCUAGUGCAUUUCAAUUCUUGAA